UACGAAGGGGGCUAGCGAUGCUCGGAAUGACUGGGCGUAAAGAGCGCGUAGGCGGCUUACCAAGUUGGGGGUGAAAUCCCGGAGCUCAACUCCGGAACUGCCUUCAAAACUGGUAGGCUCGAGUCCGGAAGAGGGGCGUGGAAUUCCCAGUGUAGAGGUGAAAUUCGUAGAUAUUGGGAAGAACAACGGUGGCGAAGGCGGCGCCCUGGUCCGGUACUGACGCUGAGGCGCGAAAGCGUGGGGAGCAAACGGG
RNAcentral lists this ribosomal RNA (253 nucleotides) under uncultured bacterium. RNAcentral describes it as "partial 16S ribosomal RNA". It matches the Rfam family "Bacterial small subunit ribosomal RNA", at positions 524 to 776 of the family's 1533-position model. The record is from RNAcentral.